CCUACGGGUGGCAGCAGUGGGGAAUAUUGGACAAUGGGCGCAAGCCUGAUCCAGCCAUGCCGCGUGAGUGAUGAAGGCCUUAGGGUUGUAAAGCUCUUUCGACGGGGACGAUGAUGACGGUACCCGUAGAAGAAGCCCCGGCUAACUUCGUGCCAGCAGCCGCGGUAAUACGAAGGGGGCUAGCGUUGUUCGGAAUUACUGGGCGUAAAGCGCACGCAGGCGGCUCGAUCAGUCAGAAGUGAAAGCCCCGGGCUCAACCUGGGAACUGCUUUUGAUACUGUCGGGCUUGAAUCAUGGAGAGGGUAGGGGAAUUCCGAGUGUAGAGGUGAAAUUCGUAGAUAUUCGGAAGAACACCAGUGGCGAAGGCGCCUACCUGGCCAUCGAUUGACGCUCAUGUGCGAAAGCGUGGGGAGCAAACAGGAUUAGAUACCCUUGUAGUCC
This 441-nucleotide ribosomal RNA is filed under the name uncultured Alphaproteobacteria bacterium. RNAcentral's name for it is "bacterial SSU rRNA". It matches the Rfam family "Bacterial small subunit ribosomal RNA", at positions 338 to 796 of the family's 1533-position model. The record is from RNAcentral. Lineage: Bacteria; Pseudomonadati; Pseudomonadota; Alphaproteobacteria.